AAGAUUAGUUCUCCGUCGAUAGAAUCUGAGACUCUUUACCUUUUCCAAUGUCAUUAAGAUUAAUGAUGUACAAUCACUCUAUUUUCAAACAGUUUCGAUGGCUACUUUCGAGCCAGCAAGUACAACCACGAAUAAACAGGACCACUCACAAGCAACCGUCCUCUAGUACAACUUCCUCAUGGCAUAUUGGAACAAACUACCCACCAUCAUAACCAAAGAAAGGUUGAUCAAUUGAAUCUUUCAUCCCACGUGUGAAACACCUCCACCUGUUU
This 272-nucleotide long non-coding RNA is filed under the name Linum usitatissimum (flax). Its description in RNAcentral is "long non-coding RNA (LUSI_LNC000730)". Lineage: Eukaryota; Viridiplantae; Streptophyta; Magnoliopsida; Malpighiales; Linaceae. The record is from RNAcentral.